UAUUUUUAUGCGGCGCAUAGCACAAAUUUCACUUUUACUUCUGGAGCUUCCUGCAAGAAAUUCAGUAUACUCUGGAUACUUUUUAUUCGGCUUUUCGUGUUUUAGCCUUAUUUCAUUAAAACCGGUUUGCUCCAUUUCUUCUCUUUGUUUACAAUGUUUUUCUUUUUGACAGCAGCUGAUAAUUUGCAAACCAGUAUUGCAAAUAAUACAAUGGCGUUUUAGUGUUGCUUAUUUAAAAGGGUGUAGCAAGUGCAUCGCUAUACAGUUUGUUAGUGUAAAAGCAAAAAUAUGCUCGCUAAUUUGCAAUUGCAAAGAUGCAAGACCAUUUGCACCAGAUUGUGAAUUGCCCUCAUAUAUAAUUAACCCUUCGUUGCAUAGCAUUGCAUAUAUGCAAUGUUAACUUCUCGUUGAUCUGGCAGCUACGUCGUUUUUUAAUUUACAGUUAUUUUUUCGCCAUAUGAAAAUUGUACGUUAUUACUAUUCUCCUUUGAUAGAGUUUCGCAAAUAUUGUUGAGUUUUUGUGAAUAUACCUAGUAAGGAGUAAACUUCUUUCUGAUAUAUUGAAAACGAAGUACUAAAUUUUCAUUAUUUUUGUGAAUUAUUGAGAAUGUGUAAUCAAAUGUAAGUACUUCCUAUUAGUUUGGAGAGCAAUUAUUGUUGAGUUUUUGUGAAUAUACGUAGUAAAGAUUAAACUUCUUUUUGAUAUAUUGAAAAUGUGUAAUCAAAUGUAAGUACUUCCUAUUAGUUUGAAGAGUUUCUUGCCCAAAUAACAAAUUCGGCCUUCACACUAAUUAUUUUUGCGAGAGUUAUAAUGUAUCAUUGCAUAUGUGCAAUAUCAUGCAUUUAAGCCAAAUUUUUACUUGCAGGGCGCUUACUGAUAAUGAUAGUGAUUGAAUAAUAGAAAACUAUAAUGACUGCAAAGAUGAGUAUUUUGAUGAUGAUGAUGAAGAAAAGUUUGAAUUGGAUAUAUAUCGACACGAAUAUAACCACGGAGAAGCAAGCCCAUCAAUACACAAUUUUAAAGAAGAUGACAUGGAACGUAUCCCCCAUUUUACUAUAGGAAACGCCUCUUUUUUUACACGGAUUUCUGAGGAACGUAUCUACCGUCUAAGUAGUAUGUUUUGGCUGGUAUAUCUGGAUAUAUGUAUGUACUUACAACUUCGAAAUAUUUAUUGGCCGAGAAAACAACAGCAUCAAUAGACUUCCUGAAGAAAUUGAUUUGGGAUCAAGUCCCAACUUAGUUAUAAUAGAAUAUUACUAAAGGAUUUUCCCCCACAAAAAAAAAUAAAAAAGUAAAAAGUUUUUUUUUGUAAUUACUACACAUCUUUUGCCACCUAUGCACAUGUGAAAUUUACUCACUGGGAACAGUUGGUUGAUAAGAAAUUUGGCCAGAAAAUAACGGUCGCUUGCACAAACGUUCUAUCUAAAAAACACCAGAAAAAUGACCCCAUCCCUGAAAAUGAAUUACGGUUGGACCACGUGGAUCACUGGCCAACAUGGGUGGACACUCGAGUCACUUGCAAAUUUGUGACGGAUAUACGUGCAUAUUUUGAAAUUAAUUUAUGUUUCAGCAAAUUAAGACAUUGUUUCGAAAAAUUACAUAUCGAAUAAAUUUACAUUUAUUGCAAAAGUAAUGAAUAUACUUCUGUCCACUUUUAUUCAAUAAAAUAAAGAGCAUAUCCAUACAGUAAGUUCCUUGUAAAUUAAUUAGGUUUGCUGCAUGAUAUUGCAUAUAUGCAAUGUUACGUAAUUCUAUCGCUAGAAACAUUGCAACCAUAAAAUUUAUAAUUUUUCAUCUUAUAAUAGCCCACAUUAAGAAUCUGAUUUCAAAAAUUUUUUAUUCUCACGAAAAUUAAACCAUGCAACGAAGGGUUAAGCCGCGGAUAGAGCGCAUUAAGUCCUCUGCAGGUGCA
RNAcentral lists this long non-coding RNA (1913 nucleotides) under Bactrocera tryoni. RNAcentral's name for it is "uncharacterized LOC120779669, transcript variant X3". The record is from RNAcentral. Lineage: Eukaryota; Metazoa; Arthropoda; Insecta; Diptera; Tephritidae.